RNAcentral lists this ribosomal RNA (253 nucleotides) under uncultured bacterium. Its description in RNAcentral is "partial 16S ribosomal RNA". It matches the Rfam family "Bacterial small subunit ribosomal RNA", at positions 524 to 776 of the family's 1533-position model. The record is from RNAcentral.
UACGUAGGUGGCAAGCGUUGUCCGGAUUCACUGGGCGUAAAGCGCGCGCAGGCGGUCUUCUACGUCUGGGGUGAAAACCCGGGGCUCAACCCCGGGACUGCCUUGGAUACGGGGAGACUUGAGGAUCGGAGAGGCAAGGGGAAUUCCACGUGUAGCGGUGAAAUGCGUAGAGAUGUGGAGGAACACCUGUGGCGAAGGCGCCUUGCUGGCCGAUUUCUGACGCUGAGGCGCGAAAGCGUGGGGAGCAAACGGG